CCCGCUCAGAAACUUAAAGGAAUUGACGGGGCCCGCACAAGCGGUGGAGCAUGUGGUUUAAUUCGAUGAUACGCGAGGAACCUUGCCUGGGCUCAAAUGUAUGUUGACGUAUUCUGAAAGGGAUACUUCUUCGGACAAUAUACAAGGUGCUGCAUGGUUGUCGUCAGCUCGUGCCGUGAGGUGUCGGGUUAAGUCCCAUAACGAGCGCAACCCCUAUCAUUAGUUGCCAUCAGGUCAAGCUGGGGACUCUAAUGAAACUGCCUACGCAAGUAGUGAGGAAGGUGGGGAUGACGUCAAAUCAGCACGGCCCUUACGUCCAGGGCUACACACGUGCUACAAUGGCCGGUACAAAGGGCAGCUACCUGGUGACAGGAUGCUAAUCUCAAAAGCCGGUCUCAGUUCGGAUCGGAGUCUGCAACCCGACUCCGUGAAGCUGGAAUCGCUAGUAGUCGCGCAUCAGCCAUGGCGCGGUGAAUACGUUCCCGGGCCUU
RNAcentral lists this ribosomal RNA (491 nucleotides) under uncultured Sphingobacteriales bacterium. RNAcentral's name for it is "bacterial SSU rRNA". It matches the Rfam family "Bacterial small subunit ribosomal RNA", at positions 888 to 1382 of the family's 1533-position model. The record is from RNAcentral. Lineage: Bacteria; Pseudomonadati; Bacteroidota; Sphingobacteriia; Sphingobacteriales.